RNAcentral lists this transfer RNA (67 nucleotides) under Spathius agrili (emerald ash borer parasitic wasp). RNAcentral describes it as "tRNA-Ser". Lineage: Eukaryota; Metazoa; Arthropoda; Insecta; Hymenoptera; Braconidae. The record is from RNAcentral.
AGAUAAUGAACUUGUAAAAGUAUAUAUUUUGAAAAUAUAAUAUAGAAAUAAAAUUUUCUAUUAUCUU